This 439-nucleotide ribosomal RNA is filed under the name Streptomyces venezuelae. RNAcentral describes it as "bacterial SSU rRNA". It matches the Rfam family "Bacterial small subunit ribosomal RNA", at positions 40 to 494 of the family's 1533-position model. Lineage: Bacteria; Bacillati; Actinomycetota; Actinomycetes; Kitasatosporales; Streptomycetaceae. The record is from RNAcentral.
UGGGGGGCUGCUUACCAUGCAAGUCGAACGAUGAAGCCCUUCGGGGUGGAUUAGUGGCGAACGGGUGAGUAACACGUGGGCAAUCUGCCCUUCACUCUGGGACAAGCCCUGGAAACGGGGUCUAAUACCGGAUAACACCGGCCUCUGCAUGGAGGCUGGUUGAAAGCUCCGGCGGUGAAGGAUGAGCCCGCGGCCUAUCAGCUUGUUGGUGGGGUAAUGGCCUACCAAGGCGACGACGGGUAGCCGGCCUGAGAGGGCGACCGGCCACACUGGGACUGAGACACGGCCCAGACUCCUACGGGAGGCAGCAGUGGGGAAUAUUGCACAAUGGGCGAAAGCCUGAUGCAGCGACGCCGCGUGAGGGAUGACGGCCUUCGGGUUGUAAACCUCUUUCACCUGGGAAGAAACCUAAGUGACGGUACCUGGUUUUUUAAGUUUC